UAAGAUCCGUAGUCGAAAGGGAAACAGCCCAGACCACCAGCUAAGGUCCCAAAAUAAUUGUUAAGUGGAAAAGGAUGUGGGGUUGCACAGACAACUAGGAUGUUAGCUUAGAAGCAGCUAUUCAUUCAAAGAGUGCGUAAUAGCUCACUAGUCGAGUGACCCUGCGCCGAAAAUGUACCGGGGCUAAAACAAUUUACCGAAGCUGUGGAUACCUUUAUAGGUAUGGUAGGAGAGCGUUCUAUGUGUGAUGAAGGUGUACCGUGAGGAGUGCUGGAACGCAUAGAAGUGAGAAUGCCGGUAUGAGUAGCGAAAGACAGGUGAGAAUCCUGUCCACCGUAAGACUAAGGUUUCCAGGGGAAGGCUCGUCCGCCCUGGGUUAGUCGGGACCUAAGGAGAGACCGAAAGGUGUAUCCGAUGGACAACAGGUUGAUAUUCCUGUACUAGAGUAUGUAGUGAUGGAGGGACGCAGUAGGCUAACUAAAGCAGACGAAUGGAAGAGUCUGUCUAAGCAGUGAGGUGUGAAUUGAGUCAAAUGCUUAGUUCUAUAACAUUGAGCUGUGAUGGGGAGCGAAGUUUAGUAGCGAAGUUAGUGACGUCACACUGCCAAGAAAAGCUUCUAGCGUUUAAACAUACUCUACCCGUACCGCAAACCGACACAGGUAGUCGAGGCGAGUAGCCUCAGGUGAGCGAGAGAACUCUCGUUAAGGAACUCGGCAAAAUGACCCCGUAACUUCGGGAGAAGGGGUGCUGACAGAGAUGUCAGCCGCAGUGAAUAGGCCCAGGCGACUGUUUAUCAAAAACACAGGUCUCUGCAAAAUCGAAAGAUGACGUAUAGGGGCUGACGCCUGCCCGGUGCUGGAAGGUUAAGAGGAGAGGUUAGCGCAAGCGAAGCUUUGAAUUGAAGCCCCAGUAAACGGCGGCCGUAACUAUAACGGUCCUAAGGUAGCGAAAUUCCUUGUCGGGUAAGUUCCGACCCGCACGAAAGGCGUAACGAUUUGGGCACUGUCUCAACGAUGGACUCGGUGAAAUCAUAGUACCUGUGAAGAUGCAGGUUACCCGCGACAGGACGGAAAGACCCCAUGGAGCUUUACUG
RNAcentral lists this ribosomal RNA (1093 nucleotides) under human metagenome. RNAcentral describes it as "bacterial LSU rRNA". It matches the Rfam family "Bacterial large subunit ribosomal RNA", at positions 999 to 2106 of the family's 2925-position model. The record is from RNAcentral.